Molecule: ribosomal RNA, 497 nt
Filed under: uncultured bacterium
Lineage: Bacteria
Description: partial 16S ribosomal RNA
Rfam family: Bacterial small subunit ribosomal RNA
Source: RNAcentral
GAUGAACGCUGGCGGCGUGCCUAAUACAUGCAAGUCGAGCGAACAGACGAGGAGCUUGCUCCUCUGACGUUAGCGGCGGACGGGUGAGUAACACGUGGAUGACCUACCUAUAAGACUGGGAUAACUUCGGGAAACCGGAGCUAAUACCGGAUAAUAUAUUGAACCGCAUGGUUCAAUAGUGAAAGACGGUUUUGCUGUCACUUAUAGAUGGAUCCGCGCCGCAUUAGCUAGUUGGUAAGGUAACGGCUUACCAAGGCAACGAUGCGUAGCCGACCUGAGAGGGUGAUCGGCCACACUGGAACUGAGACACGGUCCAGACUCCUACGGGAGGCAGCAGUAGGGAAUCUUCCGCAAUGGGCGAAAGCUUGACGGAGCAACGCCGCGUGAGUGAUGAAGGUCUUCGGAUCGUAAAACUCUGUUAUUAGGGAAGAACAAAUGUGUAAGUAACUAUGCACGUCUUGACGGUACCUAAUCAGAAAGCCACGGCUAACUACGUG